RNAcentral lists this transfer RNA (66 nucleotides) under Gobiomorus maculatus (Pacific sleeper). RNAcentral describes it as "tRNA-Cys". It matches the Rfam family "tRNA". From Rfam's summary of the family: Transfer RNA (tRNA) molecules are approximately 80 nucleotides in length. Their secondary structure includes four short double-helical elements and three loops (D, anti-codon, and T loops). The record is from RNAcentral. Lineage: Eukaryota; Metazoa; Chordata; Actinopteri; Gobiiformes; Eleotridae.
AGCUCUGAGGUGUUUAACACGUGAGAUUGCAAAUCUUGAGUAGCAGGUUAGUCCCUGCCGGGGCUU